UAAAAAUAGCAAUACAUUACUAUAAAGUAGUAUUUCAGUAAGCAGGUUUCACAGAACUAAAGACGAGACCAAGCUGUAUUUACAUACUACUGCUUAUACAAGAUGAAUGUUCGAUGCAUCCUCGUUAUUUUGCUCCUCAUUUCAGCAAGCCAUCAUGUUGAAUCACAGAAUUUUGGACCGUUUUUAGGAGGACUAGUUUUUGGUGGUUUGUUGAACCGAUUUUCAGCUCCGCCACCACCACCAUUUUACACACCAACUUUCUACUACCCACAGUUUCAAUCUGGAUUUGGUCGAUUUGGAUAGAUAACUAAAUUAAGACUGUUUAUCAGUGCUGCAUAUGACAUUGAGAAGAAUCGAUUUGUAAAUGAAAAUGUGAGAAAACAGAAAAACAAUUGACAUAUUUUUACUUCUACAGUAACUGUUGUUUUCCUUUUUUUUUUUUUUAUUCUGGAUUUACUUAAUAGUUUUUAUUAGAAAAAAAUCAGCGUGUGGUGAUUAAUUAAUAAAUACAGGUAAAUAAUAGCAUAAUGAAAACAA
Mytilus californianus (California mussel) is the source of this 537-nucleotide long non-coding RNA. RefSeq lists it as uncharacterized. The record is from RefSeq and is a predicted model, not a curated record. Lineage: Eukaryota; Metazoa; Mollusca; Bivalvia; Mytilida; Mytilidae. The transcript has 3 exons.